GAAAUGCGAUAAGUAAUGCGAAUUGCAGAAUUUCCGUGAGUCAUCGAAUCUUUGAACGCACAUUGCGCCCAUUGGUAUUCCGAUGGGCAUGCCUGUCCGAGCGUCAUUGCUGCCCUUCAAGCCCGGCUUGUGUGUUGGGUCGUCGUCCCCUCCGGGGGACGGGCCCGAAAGGCAGCGGCGGCACCGCGUCCGGUCCUCGAGCGUAUGGGGCUUUGUCACCCGCUCGAUAAGGACCGGCCGGGCGCCAGCCGGCGUCUCCAACCUUUUUUUCUCAGGUUGACCUCGGAUCAGGUAGGGAUACCCGCUGAACUUAAGC
This 316-nucleotide unclassified non-coding RNA is filed under the name plant metagenome. RNAcentral describes it as "partial contains 5.8S ribosomal RNA, internal transcribed spacer 2, and large subunit ribosomal RNA". The stretch from base 1 to 106 matches the Rfam family "5.8S ribosomal RNA", at positions 50 to 154 of the family's 154-position model. The record is from RNAcentral.